RNAcentral lists this ribosomal RNA (253 nucleotides) under uncultured bacterium. RNAcentral's name for it is "partial 16S ribosomal RNA". It matches the Rfam family "Bacterial small subunit ribosomal RNA", at positions 524 to 776 of the family's 1533-position model. The record is from RNAcentral.
UACGUAGGGUGCAGGCGUUACUCGGAAUUACUGGGCGUAAAGCGUGCGCAGGCGGUUUCUUAAGUCAGGGGUGAAAUCCCAGAGCUCAACUCUGGAACUGCCUUUGAUACUGGGUGUCUUGAGUAUGGAAGAGGUGAGUGGAAUUCCGAGUGUAGAGGUGAAAUUCGUAGAUAUCCGGAGGAACACCGGUGGCGAAGGCGGCUUCCUGGACCGACACUGACGCUGAGGCGCGAAAGCUAGGGGAGCAAACAGG